Molecule: non-coding RNA, 8383 nt
Organism: Sus scrofa (pig)
Lineage: Eukaryota; Metazoa; Chordata; Mammalia; Artiodactyla; Suidae
Source: RefSeq, a predicted model, not a curated record
GGUACCCGGUGGAGAGAGGAGACAACCUAAGUCAGCUCCACCAGCACCGCAUCUAGGCAGGUGCAAGGAUGUCAGUGGGGAGCCAACCAGGUGAGCGCCUGGGAGAGCCUCGCAGGUCCGCAGGGCCUGAGAAAUCCGGCCGCUUCCUCCGCAGCACGGGACGCGGACCUCAGGGACCAUCCACGCGGCAGGGGUUGCUCGCAGGGAAGGCGCGUGCCCGGAGGUGGGGCGCAAAGGCGACGGCCCAGGAUGGGAGCCUCGAGUGGACGGUCCCCGUGGGGACUCCGGAGUGGACAGCCCGGGUGCAGGCCCCAGAUGGUGGUCCCGCGGUCGAUGCAGAACAAACGUCUGGAGGCAGGCGUGGCUCCUGACCGUGGUGGGGGUGACAGUGAACCUGGGGACUCAGGUCAGCAGGAGGCAAUGACAGAAUGACGCCCCGGAAGAAGGGCAGGAAGCUGGUUAAAGAGGAACCUCCCUGGACAACUGGGCUGGCAUGGUUGGGGAGGAAGCUGGAGGAGAGGGCUGUCCAGAGCCCUGAGGUCCCAGGCGGGCACCCUGAAAUCCCUUGCUGAGGCCCUGACUGCGCCACCUGCCUGCCAAGCUGCUCCAAUGCAUAAAAGCCUCGGAUUUCCAAAAGGUGACAGGACUCGGCUGCGUGGAAGCCGCCCCGCUGCCACCUCCCCACUCCGGGUGGAGGCUCCCCCGCUUUCCUGCGGUCCCACCCAGCGUCGCGGGGGGGCCUGCGCCUGCAAGUCCCGGCUCUCGCCCGUCUGUGCGAGCCCUCUGGACCUCGGGCUGUUUGGAAACGCCUCUUCAGCCCGAGUUAAGGAGCCACCGCUGCCGGGGGUGAAGGACGCCGCGCGGCUGAGGGACCGUCUGGGGCAGGGACGGAAACACUCUGCAGAAGGCUCAGCCGACAGCGGGCAGUGGCCAGGGAGCAGUCCUCUCACAAGAAAGAGCUGGGAGCUCCCAGCUCAGGGCUGGUGUCCUGGGAGCCAUGGACGGAGCUCCUGGUCUGGGGCUGGACACAGGCCCCCGAAGAGAGACACCCUCCCUGCCCACCCCCGCCAGCGUCCAGCAGAGGCCAGGGGCAUGCGGCUGGGCUGUGAAGGAACCCCUGUGUGUGGACAGCAGUGCCCCGGGGGGUGUCCUCUCUGGGAGACCCAUCAGCUGCUCCCCAACAGGCGGAGGCAUCCAAAAUGGUCGGUGAGGAGACUCACGUGUGAUUGGGUCAAGCUGACCGGCUGCAGGGGCCCAGAUCAAGCACUGCUUCUGGGUGUGUGUGAGGGUGUUUCUGGGGGAGCCCAGCACCUGAAUGGGUGACUCAGUGAGGCAGGUGCCCCCGCCCCAGGCAGGUGGGCCUCGCCCAUCGCUGAGGGUCUGACUAGUACAGAGGCGAGGAACGAGAGACCUUCCUGCUGUCCCACCUUCAGACUUUGGAUGAAUCGCACCCAUGGGAGCCUCAGCCUCCGGGAGGAUAAGAGCCGACUCCUCCCAAUAAACCCCCUUUCUGUGCAUGUCCCACUUGCGCUGUGUCUCUGGAACGCUGACCAGCGCAAGGAGCUUGAACACCUGAUGCUGAAGUUAGGCUGGCAGACGACACCAGCUGUCAUAGCAGAGAAACCCUUUCUCGUCUCCUCACUCGUGACACGGGAUGGCUAUGGUGCCACCCUGUCGUGGGGUUGGUCAUUGGGUUGCCCAUGGCCCUGGAGGCAAACGGACAGAGCUGCUGCCCAGAAGGGCCCCGGGAGAAGUGGGCAGCGUUCUUAUGGUCAUUGCCAGACCAGGCCUUGGAAGAAGGGGAGUCUUGGUAACCAGUAUUUGAGGUCUCAAGAGAUGGCAGUGACAGUUGUCACUGCAGGAGCUCAAGAGGGGUCGGAAACGCAGAGCAGGCGUGGGAGCUGCUCCAAGAAAACCAGGGGGAGCUGCCCUCGCAAGAGACACCAACCCCAGCCCCAGGUGGACGACACCAUCACGAUACAGCAUCCAAUAGGCAGAGCCACCCUGCACUUUCUGAGCACAGAGACACCGGAGGGGGUCGCUGGCUGACGGCCCUGCGGUGUUCGUGUGCCCGGAGAUGGCCGCUGUCUCCAAAACCAACACCAACGCCAUCGGCGAAGUCAAGGCAAACGGGAGAACGUCUGUGAUGUGUGUCGCGGGCCAGAGUUGCCCACCAGUGCCACCGCAAGGGGGUAGGACCCUUGCAGAGACGGGGAAAGGCCUUCCAAAGGACCUGGGGAGCGUGGCGGAUGGGCCGGCAGCCGCGGGAAUAGGCUUCUCACAUAGGGAGAUACCCGUUUCGCCCGCAGAUUUCCAGCAUCCAGCACCGGGAUGCCUGCGUUGGUGCUGGUGGGAAGUGCGUGCCCGAGACUGCAGGGGCUGCUGCAGACCCUCUCUGGAGAUGCACGGCACUGCGCAGCAGCGACACUUUACAGGAGGUUUCCGAGGUCACCGAGGACCCCGGGGAGUAGGUCUGCCCCGCGCCAGCCAGCCGGGCCCCUGAGAGGGAAGCCUGGCCCCGCCUCCAGGGUCAGAGAGCCGGGUGAGGUCUGGUCGGCCACCUCACAGCCACCCCCGGAGCAGACAGCUGUGACAGAUGGUGCUGGCAAAACCCCAACCCUGGGCGGCGGCUUCCAUGUGAACCUGGGAAAGGAGUCACGAGCACAGACCCUGCAGAACGGGCGGCGGCAGAUCCAUCACCUGGGGAACCAGCUGCAGCUGAACCAGCACUGCCUGGACACGGCCUUCAACUUCUUCAAGAUGGCCGUGAGCAAGCACCUGACCCGCGGCCGCAGGAUGGCCCACGUCAUCGCCGCCUGCCUCUACCUGGUGUGCCGCACGGAGGGCACCCCGCACAUGCUGCUGGACCUCAGCGACCUGCUCCAGGUGAACGUUUACGUGCUGGGGAAGACGUUCCUUCUUCUGGCGAGAGAGCUGUGCAUCAACGCGCCGGCCAUAGGUACCGCGGGGCACGCUGGCACCCAGCGCUCGGGGGUGGGGGAGGCAAGUGCGAGGGCAAGGACCCGCCCCCUGCCAGACCCCUGCCUGUACAUCCCUCGCUUCGCCCACCUGCUGGAGUUUGGCGACAAGAACCACGAGGUGUCCAUGACGGCCCUGAGGCUGCUGCAGAGGAUGAAGAGGGACUGGAUGCACACGGGCCGGCGCCCCUCGGGCCUCUGCGGGGCAGCGCUUCUGGUUGCAGCCAGGAUGCAUGAUUUCCGGAGGACUGUCAAAGAGGUCAUCGGCGUGGUCAAGGUGUGCGAGUCCACGCUGCGCAAGAGGCUCACGGAGUUUGAGGACACCCCCACCAGUCAGCUGACCGUGGAUGAGUUUAUGAAGAUCGACCUGGAGGAGGAGUGCGACCCCCCCUCGUACACGGCCGGGCAGCGCAAGCUGCGGAUGAAAGAGCUUGAACGAGUCCUGUCGAAGCAGCUGGAGGAGGUGGAAGGGGAAAUUUGCAGCUACCAGGACGCGAUUGAGAUCGAGCUGGAGAACAGCCGGCCAAAGGCAAAGGGGGCCCUUGCCAGCCUGACCAAAGACGGCUCCGCUGAGGAUGGCACGUCCAGCCCGUUUGGUGAGGAGGACGCCGAGGACGAGGAGCUGGAGGCCGCCGCCAGCCACCUGAACAAGGACUUUUACCAGGAGCUCCUUGGCAGUGGCAUUCCUGGCAGCUCAGAGGCAGCAGGAGGCCCCGAGGGGGGCGUCAGACCCCCUGCCCUGGAGUCCCUACUCGGCCCUCUGCCCACAGCAGCCAGCCUGGGCAUCUCAGACUCCAUCCGCGAGUGCAUCUCCUCCCAGAGCCAGGACCCCAAGGACCCUUCUGCAGACGGCGAGCUGGACCUCAGCGGGAUCGACGACCUGGAGAUCGACAGAUACAUCCUGAAUGAGGCGGAAACCCGUGUGAAGGCCGAGCUGUGGAUGCGCGAGAACGCGGAGUACCUGCGGGAGCAGCGGGAGAAAGAGGCGAGAAUAGCGAAGGAGAGAGAGCUGGGCGUCUACAAGGAGCACAAGCCCAAGAAGUCCUGCAAGCGGCGGGAGCCGAUCCAAGCCAGCACAGCUGGGGAAGCCAUCGAGAAGAUGCUGGAGCAGAAGAAGAUCUCCAGCAAGAUCAACUACAGCGUGCUCCGCGACCUGGACAGCAAGGGCGGCGGCGGCCAGCCCCGGGGGGACGCCGGGCCCCAGGAGAGGGCCGGCGCCAAGAAGCUGUCCCGGAGGAAGAGGCCCGCCAGCAGGAGCAGGGCCAGCCUGGUGACCAGCGUGGGGAAGAGGUACCGUGCGGGGCCUUCACCUCUCCCCUGCGUGGCCCCCUGCUGCCCUGGAAGGGGGCCUGGGCGUGAGGUCUGUUCUGGGCCUGGCCCAUUCUCCGUCCCAGGGGUCUCUUCUCCAGGGAGGGGUCCCCGUCACCCGGCAGACCCACCGUCCUGCGGGGCUGGGGCCGGGGCCGGGCAGCCCCCAGCUAGAGCCUGGCUCCUGGGAGCACUGCUGGGGCUGGGGACUCACGGGUCACCCCGGGGAGGGGCAGUGCCCGGCGCUCUGGGGCUGCCCUGCCCGGCCCCGGCCCCGGUCCGCUGUGGUUUUCUAGCCACAAUUCGCCCGAGACGUGAAGAUGUUCUGGUUGGCGGGUCUGCUGCUCUCGGGUGGAAGUAAUCGUUUUUCGCGAUUUUUGUGGCAUUUUUUCUGUAGCUCGCCUGCCCCGCUCCUUCCUCUCAGGUCCCCAAGCCCCCGCAUGCUCAGGUGCCCAUUACAGCCUGCCUCCCUCCAGGCGGCUGGUCAGCCCAGUCCUGUCCCAGGGACCUGGUUGGCUUGUCUGCCAGUGUCCCCGUGUCCCCUCUGAUGACAGGCACAGGAGUGGGCACUGGGGGGGGACGUCUGCCCCCCUUCCUAGGCAGCGCCCCCCAGCCUGCCUCCUCGCUCUGUGGGCAUAGUGUGGUCACUGCCUGUCCUCUAGGGCUGUGGCAGGUAGCCAGGGGACCCCGAGCCUUCUCCCUCCGGUCCAGCCUGGCCUCUGGCGAGGUGGAGCGUGGGUGCACCCCGAGCUGUGGCUCGUGGGGCCUCGUCUGCCGUGUGGGCAGCAGUGCUUGGCGUCUGCUCCCCGUGCACGGGCUGGGGGCUGCCCUCCCAGAGCCCCGGCCCUGCCCGCCUGUGUCGCUGAAAAGUUGCGGGUGAGCCCUGUCUCGCCGUCUGGUGGUGCCCUCGCGGGCGUGGUGUUUGCCGUCCUGACCUGAUCUGCGGGAGCUGUGCGGCAGCCACGUCCUCCGGGGCCGGGGGCCGAGGGUGGAGCAUGUUCUGUGGGCCGCAUGCAGGACACGUGGACGACUGCCAGGUGCUCUUGUACCAGCAGGGCCUGUGACCCCCUCACCCCGCUCCACUGGCCGCCAUGCCAGCCCUCAGUGGGGCGCACCGUGGCAGUUGCCCGCCCGCCUCCUGGGUUCUGGGGACCCUGGCCUUCUCUGCUGGGCCUCAGAUCAUUGCCCCCAUGGCUCCGAGCUCAGGUUUCCCCAGGUAGCAGGUGGGGACCGACCGGGAGAGCAGUGGGAGGUUCUUCUCAGGCCUGCCUGCAGACUGCUGGCACCGCUGCGUUGGCCCUCUCCUCCCUCCAGGCCGCCCGCCCAUCCCCGCCAGCGCGGGUCUCCCCCGAGCCCUGCGCCACCUGCUGCUGAGGUCUCACCCCUGCUGUCAGGUGUCCCCCCUGUUGGAGGUUGGAACAGGGUCUGAGCAGGAGAGAGCAGGCCCCUGGAAGCGGUGCUGUGAGAUGCGGCUGCUGGGGGUGGGGGGCAGCCCAGGCUCUCAGGCUGGAGGGGCGGGGCAGGCUUGGGUCUUGGGACGCGCCUCUCCCCCCCUCCUCUUCCCCUCCCCUCCCCUCUCCCCUCUCCUCCAACCCCCUCCUCCCCCUUCCCCCUCCUCUCCACGGUGCUCCCUACCCAGGGCCGGCAUGUGGGGUACACAGAGGUUCCUAGGCCGGGGCUGAAUUGGACCUGCAGCUGCAAGCCUGCACCACAGGCACGGCAACACCAGAUCCCAGCCACAGCUGUGGUCUACAGAGGCCAGCAACGCCGGAUCCUUAACCUACUUAGUGAGGCCAGGGAUCAAACCUGCCUCCUCAUGGAUACCAGUCAGAUUCAUUUCGGCCGAGCCGCAGUGGGAAUUCCGAUUUUCGUGUUUUAUCCUUCGUCACAUGUUGACAGGCAGGCAGCGGUUCUGUCCGGAAAGACCUAACGGCCUGUGUAGUGGCUUAAGUAAUUUGAUUUUUGUUACCAUCAUGUAGAAAGAAGCUUUUAUACAAGAGUCUGCGUUUCUGACUUCUUCUGGUGACCCCCCCGCUCCUGGCACUGUGCCCGCCCCGCCUUGGGUGCAGUGCUCACCUGGACUGGGGGCUGGGGGGGACCUCGGCUCUGCCGUGUCUGUUGGGCACACGUGUCCCCUGCCCAGCCUUGGGCGGGGCAAGGACCGUGGAGGGAGGGACCAUGACGGCAGGGUGGUGUGACCAGAACCUCAGAGCACGCGCCGUCCUGCCCUUUGGCUGGAGCACAGGCCUCAGGACGGGGCCCACGUCCUCUUGGCCGGCGGUGCGGCCUGGCUGAGGCCGCCGUGCUGUGCUCUCUUGUAGGUUGAGGCCGAUGGUGUCCACGCAGGCGGCUAAGAAGGCGGCCGUUGGAGAGGUGUGUUGUGUGGACCCAGCUGGCCGGGGGGCCCUGUUGGGGGGAGCCCCUGCCCCCAGGGUGCCAGUGUGCACCAGCCAGCAGCCCCCCGGUGUCCUCACGGGAAGAGAGGCCCAGGGCUGGGGUCCAGCCUGGUCAGGGUCCUGGUCUGCUCCAGGGGCCAAAGGGCGAAGCAGGGAAGGGUGGUCCCUGAGGGGUCCCAGGGCAGCUGCCAGCUCCGUCUGCGGGCGGGUGCCUCCCCCAGGCGGGGCCUCGGCAGGGGGGAGGCUUUCCAAGGGUGGGGUCGGGGGGAGGCUGCGGGGCUCAGGGGGUCCUCACCGAUGGCUCUUGAAAGGUGGGAAGGGUCCCCAUGGUGCCUCACGGCCCGCAGCACUGCCCCCAGGGGACUGGAGGGGUCCCCAGCUCGCCCCUCGCCCGCAGGCCUCGCCACCAGGUCCUCGCUCCCUGGCAGCCGAGCCCGCCAGGCCCACGGCGGUGGUGGUGGAGAGCGGGCCUGUGUCGUACCACCCCGAGGAGGACGCCGACGAGGAGGACGCCGACGAGGAGGACGCCGAGCCCUGCGUCAGCGCCCUGCAGAUGAUGGGCGGCAGCGAUUAUGGCUGUGACGGCGACGACGACGACAACUACUGAGACGGGCCCUCGCCGCCGCUGUGUCCUGGUGCUGGACACCACCCCGCGGGUGUCUCACGAGGGACCAGGCAGGGCCUCUGGGGCCAGGGCUCAUCGGGGAGAGCGUCGGACUCUUGGUGACAAGCUGGGUGCUGCCCUGCAGCUUUGUCCGCAGCCACACGUGGCCUCUGUGGCUCUUGCCAUUGCGACCACAAUUUGAGUCACGUGAGGCAUGUUUCCGCCCAGCAAGGGCCGGGACCGGUGUCCGUGCGUCUGGUCAAACAGACGUGGGUCUCACAGCCCAGGAAGGCUUGCCGGAGGCGCCGUCCUGUCUCCGCGAGAGAACGAGCACCGGGCGGCCUGGCCGCUCGUCCUCGUGCGUGGGGUCGGCUGCCCUGCCCGCCCCCCGCUGUCUGAGAAGCAUUUUGCCAGCAGCCCUCCUUUUGCUGGUCCAGAACUGGUCCCGUGUCUCCAACUGGAGUUCCCGGCCAGGCCCUUGUGCCCCCUGCUGCUGUCUGGGCCCGGGGACCACGUGGGUCGAUACCAGGAGCCCAGAGGCUGCCUGGCUCCAGCCUGGCAGCUGCUGAAUCGAGUCAGUCCAGCAUCCCUCAGCAGGCACAUGCACGGUGGCCCUGGGUGGCCUGCGUGUCCGGCCUGGGCCAGAGAGCUAUGCGCGAGCCAGCAUGCCAUCCUACACGGGGUGGUGGGCAGAGGAUCCUCGGGCUUGGCAGCCCUGCUCUCGACGGUUCCUGCCCGCCCCGAGCUGCCCGGGCUGGGCCUCAUCAUCAGAGGGCCCGGGGCCAUCUGGCCUUGGCUUGGGCGGCGCUGCCUGGAGGUGUCCAGGGAGGGGGGCGGACGCUCUGUCCUUCGAGGCCCCAGCCUCGGCCGCCCACCCUUACAAUGGCAUAGCCUCACCCCACUGUCUUCCUGGGGCCCAGCCCCCGCCCCCAUCUCCUGGGGUGGGCGACCCCCUCCCAGAGUGCACCAGCGUUGGCGGGCGGGGGUGGGGUGGGGUUUUGAGGUCUGUGGCUCUGCCCCUCAGCCUGGACCCAGGAGCCCCGGAAAGCUGGAGCGGAAGGUUGGUUUGGUCAAACAGAUUGUUACUUGAGCAGAAA